CCUACGGGCGGCAGCAGUGAGGAAUAUUGGUCAAUGGACGGAAGUCUGAACCAGCCAUGCCGCGUGCAGGAAGACGGCUCUAUGAGUUGUAAACUGCGUUUGUACAAGGGGAAACCGGAAUAAGUGGAUGCAGCUGAAAGUACGGUACGAAUAAGGAUCGGCUAACUCCGUGCCAGCAGCCGCGGUAAUACGGAGGAUCCAAGCGUUAUCCGGAUUUAGUGGGUUUACAGGGUGCGUAGGCGGAUUGAUAAGUUAGAGGUGCAAUGUCCGAGCUGAACUCGGGAACGGCCUCUAAUACUGUUGCUCUAGAUCGUAGAUGCGGUAGGCGGACUGUCUGUUGUAGCGGU
Molecule: ribosomal RNA, 347 nt
Filed under: uncultured bacterium
Lineage: Bacteria
Description: partial 16S ribosomal RNA
Rfam family: Bacterial small subunit ribosomal RNA
Source: RNAcentral